AUUGAACGCUGGCGGCAUUCCUAACACAUGCAAGUCGAGCGAGCGGCGGACGGGUGAGUAAUGUAUGGGGACUGCCCGAUAGAGGGGGAUAACUACUGGAAACGGUGGCUAAUACCGCAUACUAUCGGAUAACCCAUAUGGGAUUCGCUAGUGGGUGGGGUAAAGGCUCACCUAGGCGACGAUCUCUAGCUGGUCUGAGAGGAUGAUCAGCCACACUGCGACUGAGACACGGCCCGGACUCCUACGGAGGCAGCGGUGGGGAAGAUUGCACAAGGGGCGCAAGCCUGAUGCAGCCAUGCCGCGUGGAUGAAGAAGGCCUUAGGGUUGUAAAGUACUUUCAGCGGGGAGGCGUUACCAGCAGAAGAAGCACCGGCUAACUCCGUGCCAGCAGCCGCGGUAAUAC
This 403-nucleotide ribosomal RNA is filed under the name uncultured bacterium. Its description in RNAcentral is "partial 16S ribosomal RNA". It matches the Rfam family "Bacterial small subunit ribosomal RNA", at positions 30 to 526 of the family's 1533-position model. The record is from RNAcentral.